AUAUAUAUAUAUAUAUAUAUAUAUAUAUAUAUAUAUAUAUAUAUAUAUAUAUAUAUAUAUAUAUAUAUAUAUUACAUGUUUUUUUCCAGGAGUAUUCAUGAUAGCUAGAUAUUUGGGUCGUUUACUUCAAAAUUCAAAUUUAAGGUGCACUAUAUUUUCCUCUCCAUCUUUUAAUUUAAAAUUAAUUUGAGUUAUAUAUAAUCUAUGUAUUUUAUAUGCAAAUAAAAAAAUGUAUUUUCAGUAAACUUUUCAACUGUGAUCUGUGAAAAGUCUCAAUUUGAUGGUGAGAUACAUGAAGUAAAUAGUACCCAUGCUCGAUUGAUUAACGUUUGUAGUACAAUUUAUCUUCCGACUGCCAUGGCAUACUAUACCUUCAUUGAUAAUUAUGGUUUUCACCAUAAAUAUGUAUUUUCAAGAACUCCAAUAAGUUCAAGGACAACUGUGGCUGAGAGAUGAAGAUUCUUUAUCUUAGAGGUUGUCGUUUUUAUAAUGCAUUUUGCAACAAUUGUACAAGAUAUCAAGGUUGUCAUGAUUAUGUUGAUAUGUUGUUUAUAUUUCUCAUAAAUUACAUUAUUUGUGUGGUGGCAGUCUGGCAGAAUAAGAUAACAUAAGAAAUGGAACAUAACUUCACCUAUGCAAACAAUUGAACAAUAACCGACAUUGAACGUUAGUGAGUAUUUUCUUUUUAGUUAAAAUUAUAAUUUUAAGUUAAAAAUUAGCAGCAAUAAAAAUACUUGUGGAAAUAUUUUAUUUAUUUAUUAUUUAGACUUAUAGAAAUUGGUUAUUAAUAUUAUAGAAGUCAUGUGGUUAUUAAUAUUAUAGAAGCAAAGGAGUAUGACACCGUUGGAAUUUUCUUAUUUGUCACAAUUUGAAGACAUUUUUGCCAUUAUCAUUAGUAGUACAACCAAAGUCAAACUAGCAAAAUAAUGAGGGAUUGUAUAAAAAAAAAUACUACUCUUUUAUAUCAUUUAUAUUUUCUCUUCUGCAGUAUUCUUUCCAUAUAUUUACUGUUUAUAGUUCAUACAUUAUACAUUAUAGAGUUAAGUAAUAAACCAAAUACCUGUUGGAACAUGUUUCUUUGCCUAACCCGUUCUUAGGAAUUAUAGAGUGACUAGCAAUGUAUUGUUUUAUGAUUUUUUUAAUUUCCAUAAGUUAGUACUUUUAUAUAAGUAAAUUGAAGUUUUCAUUGAGGACUGCAUAUUUUCCUAACCUGUUCCUUUCCCUGCUACAGAUCAGUAUUACCUUUUGACUUUGCCCAACAUUUUGGGAAACACUUGAGUACAAUGUCACUUCAACCUUAAAUGCUAUGGCGAGUUCCGCACGGUAAGCCCCUGCAUUUCUUGCUUUCUCCAACAGUGCUGCCAUACAUUUUGUAAUAUUAUUUGUACCUUUUCCAUGAAACGUCAGAAUUUUACAUGGAUUAAUGUUAUUUUUCUGAUGCACAGCCGAGUAGCAGUGUUAUUUAAUAGAGCAUACUGCUACUUUUAAUUUGCUAGCAGUCUCUUUCCACGAUUUUACUUUGGUCUGAAGUGACUGGAUAACUUUGAAUUACUAUGCAUUUUCUAAACAUGAGUUGUAUCGGGACUGUCAACUAUAUCUGUCAAUUUAUAUAGAAUCGUUGAAGAAGCUACUUAGACUUUUGGCCUAAGAGAUAUAAUUUGCACCGAACGUCAAAACUAUGGAAUUCAAGUAUUUUCUAUUA
Vicia villosa (hairy vetch) is the source of this 1702-nucleotide long non-coding RNA. RefSeq lists it as uncharacterized. The record is from RefSeq and is a predicted model, not a curated record. NCBI's taxonomy places the organism in Eukaryota, Viridiplantae, Streptophyta, Magnoliopsida, Fabales, Fabaceae. The transcript is spliced from 2 exons.